GACCUGCUGGCCGGCCUGCUGGGCGCGGUGCUGGUGCUGCCGCAGGGCGUAGCGUUCGCGACGCUGGCCGGGCU
RNAcentral lists this transfer RNA (74 nucleotides) under Cupriavidus respiraculi. Its description in RNAcentral is "tRNA-Thr". Lineage: Bacteria; Pseudomonadati; Pseudomonadota; Betaproteobacteria; Burkholderiales; Burkholderiaceae. The record is from RNAcentral.